CGAAUGCUGACAUAAGUAACGAUAAAGCGGGUGAAAAGCCCGCUCGCCGGAAGACCAAGGGUUCCUGUCCAACGUUAAUCGGGGCAGGGUGAGUCGACCCCUAAGGCGAGGCCGAAAGGCGUAGUCGAUGGGAAACAGGUUAAUAUUCCUGUACUUGGUGUUACUGCGAAGGGGGGACGGAGAAGGCUAUGUUGGCCGGGCGACGGUUGUCCCGGUUUAAGCGUGUAGGCUGGUUUUCCAGGCAAAUCCGGAAAAUCAAGGCUGAGGCGUGAUGACGAGGCACUACGGUGCUGAAGCAACAAAUGCCCUGCUUCCAGGAAAAGCCUCUAAGCAUCAGGUAACAUCAAAUCGUACCCCAAACCGACACAGGUGGUCAGGUAGAGAAUACCAAGGCGCUUGAGAGAACUCGGGUGA
Molecule: ribosomal RNA, 414 nt
Filed under: Escherichia coli
Lineage: Bacteria; Pseudomonadati; Pseudomonadota; Gammaproteobacteria; Enterobacterales; Enterobacteriaceae
Description: partial 23S ribosomal RNA
Rfam family: Bacterial large subunit ribosomal RNA
Source: RNAcentral